Molecule: long non-coding RNA, 160 nt
Organism: Myotis myotis
Lineage: Eukaryota; Metazoa; Chordata; Mammalia; Chiroptera; Vespertilionidae
Exons: 3
Source: RefSeq, a predicted model, not a curated record
CAAGGGCGGAGCUAAUGGGCGCCCUCUCAGGAGUGUUUUAUUUACAUCGAGAGGUAAUUGAUUCUUCAGUAGAGCCCUGGUUGUACCAGGUGAUGCCACAGAGACUGAGGGUCAGCAAUCUUCUUGUCCCUGAAUUGAGUGGUGGAGGAGAGGAAGCUAG